RNAcentral lists this ribosomal RNA (497 nucleotides) under uncultured bacterium. RNAcentral describes it as "partial 16S ribosomal RNA". It matches the Rfam family "Bacterial small subunit ribosomal RNA", at positions 28 to 507 of the family's 1533-position model. The record is from RNAcentral.
GAUGAACGCUGGCGGCGUGCCUAAUACAUGCAAGUCGAGCGAACAGACGAGGAGCUUGCUCCUUUGACGUUAGCGGCGGACGGGUGAGUAACACGUGGAUAACCUACCUAUAAGACUGGGAUAACUUCGGGAAACCGGAGCUAAUACCGGAUAACAUGUUGAACCGCAUGGUUCAACAGUGAAGGACGGUCUUGCUGUCACUUAUAGAUGGAUCCGCGCCGCAUUAGCUAGUUGGUAAGGUAACGGCUUACCAAGGCAACGAUGCGUAGCCGACCUGAGAGGGUGAUCGGCCACACUGGAACUGAGACACGGUCCAGACUCCUACGGGAGGCAGCAGUAGGGAAUCUUCCGCAAAGGGCGAAAGCCUGACGGAGCAACGCCGCGUGAGUGAAGAAGGUCUUCGGAUCGUAAAACUCUGUUAUUAGGGAAGAACAAAUGUGUAAGUAACUAUGCACGUCUUGACGGUACCUAAUCAGAAAGCCACGGCUAACUACGUG